GGGAAGGCGAUGACAGCCAGUGCGCACGCGUUAACUCGCUCGUAAGGCAGCCAGGUGUAGAAGUACUGCGCACGCGCAAAAGCAAAGUGACUGAAGGUGAUAAACAAGACACAGACACUUUUCUCGUAG
This is a long non-coding RNA of Notechis scutatus (mainland tiger snake), 129 nucleotides long. RefSeq lists it as uncharacterized. NCBI's taxonomy places the organism in Eukaryota, Metazoa, Chordata, Lepidosauria, Squamata, Elapidae. The record is from RefSeq and is a predicted model, not a curated record.